Long non-coding RNA from Eriocheir sinensis (Chinese mitten crab), 1936 nucleotides. RefSeq lists it as uncharacterized. The record is from RefSeq and is a predicted model, not a curated record. NCBI's taxonomy places the organism in Eukaryota, Metazoa, Arthropoda, Malacostraca, Decapoda, Varunidae. The transcript has 4 exons.
UGUCUACGAGGCUGCCACGGAGGGUAUGGCCAUAGUAUUCAAGGGCCAUGGACCACGGAAGGGCCAUUAGAGGGAAGAUACUGUGUGCCAUGGUGCCAUUUUUGUGAUUUUCAAGGGUGGUUUAAGUGCCAAGUGUCUACGAGAGUGCCACAAAGGGUAUGGCCGUAGUAUUCAAGGGCCAUGGACCACCGAAGGGCCAUUAGAGGGAAGAUACUGUGUGCCAUGGUGCCAAGUGUACGAGGGUGCCACAGAGAGUUAGGUAGACGCCCCUGCCAUGGCCUUACUCAACUAGGGCCAUGGACCACCGGAGGGCCAUUGGAGGGGAGAAAUAAUGGUCCAUAGUGCCAUAUUUUGUGAUGUUCAAGGAGUAGCUGUGAAUGGCCUCAAUGAAGAAUGCGAGAAGUCUGAACAUGAGAUACAGGCGGAGGAGGAGGAGGAGGGCCUGAUACGACAAGAAUGUGGCUUCACCUACAGGGGAUGCAUUUGAGAUUAAGCUCUGAAGAACGAAGGGAGAACAGAAGAAAGGAAGGAAGGCCAUCUUGGAAGACUCAAGCACCAGUCACCCCAGUCCAAGGAAAGGUCACAAGAGGUCAAGGAGGUCACAGUAUGAAGGAGCAGUCCAGUCAAGUCAAGUUAUUGAAAAGGGAAGGGAAAGGAUAGGGAAGGGAAGGAAAGGGAAGGGAAGGGAAGGAACAGAGAAGUGUAUAAAUAGUUAAGCUUAAAGUCACAUACAGUUAGAUACAUACAGUUACACACAUAGAUUUACAUACAAUUUCGAUGGUGCGUUUGACUCAGUGGGUAGCGGAUUGGCCCGGCCCACGGUGUUAUGGACUCGCUCAACACAAGUACAGUAAACCCUCGAUAUAACGGACUAAUUUUCAUUUCUAUUUAUUCAUUUAUUUUUUUCACAUCAGAGGACACGUCUCAAGGGCAGUAAGGAGUACAAAAAAAAAGCCUGCUACUCGCCGCUCCUAUAAAAGAUAAAAGUAAAGAGUAGCCAAAAGAGAGGUCAAUUUCGGGUGGAGAGGUGUCUUGAUACACACUCAAUUUUGGGGGAACUUAGUCCGUUAGGGCCGAAAGUCUGUUAUAAGCGGCGAAGAUUUAAAAAAAACGUAAAAUAAUAAAACGACGAAGGAGUAAACGUAGGCAUAUAUAUUUUUUAUUGUGUAUGUUGUGUGCACGUUGUCUAUAGGGCCGCACAGCCCACUUGGCGAUGCACUCCGAGGCACUGAGGUUGCUAGGUUGUGAGUGGGGUCUUGCGUGGGGGUCAUAUUGUUACGGGUAUGGGUAGAAUUUUACAAGUGCAGUGAGUAGUGGACUUUUUUUAUUAUUGUUUACUUUUUUUGUGCCCUUGAGCUGUCUCCUCUGUUGUAAAAAAAAAAAAAAAAAAAAAUUGCACCAAUCUCACACUGGCAGACAAAACUUUUUUUUGUAGUUUCUGGUGUGUUAUGAAAUAAUGUGCUAACUGUUUCUGUCACAUAAUUAAAUGAUUGCCUUUCCAAUGCCUGGUGUACACAGCACCUGUAAAAUAACUUGCUGAGAGAAAUGUUCAGGUUGCUUAGUUUCUAUAUUUCACACCGGGUUCGAUUCCUGGGCGGAGUUGAAAAAUUUGGGCGGCUUUUCCGAUACCCUACGCCCCUGUCCACCCAGCAGUGAAUGGGUGCCAGGUAUUAAUCGAGGGUUGUGUACCGUCUCCUGGGAUCUGUUCCCUUCUCCUAUAAUUCCUUCCCCUUCUGUCUCUCUCCGGCAUAUGACCACAGAUGUUGCGCCCACUGAACAAAACCCUUUAUAUUUCACUCACAACCCACAAAGAUCACAAGUGGAUAAACUAGAACAAAACCAGGCUAAUUAAUGUUUUUCCUGCCAUGUAUUCCCCCAGUGCGCAUGCGUGAUGGACACCAGAGUGACUUAUUUCUGCGAGGAGGUAUUUCUCGGA